UGGGCCCAGGGCUGUGCUGGAGA
Molecule: microRNA, 23 nt
Filed under: Gallus gallus (chicken)
Lineage: Eukaryota; Metazoa; Chordata; Aves; Galliformes; Phasianidae
Description: gga-miR-1604
Source: miRBase by way of RNAcentral